ACACAGCUGACGAGUCUCAAAUAGAACGAAACGCACGUCCUGGAU
This 45-nucleotide non-coding RNA is filed under the name Schistosoma margrebowiei. Lineage: Eukaryota; Metazoa; Platyhelminthes; Trematoda; Strigeidida; Schistosomatidae. The record is from RNAcentral.